This is a non-coding RNA of Nippostrongylus brasiliensis, 72 nucleotides long. Lineage: Eukaryota; Metazoa; Nematoda; Chromadorea; Rhabditida; Heligmosomidae. The record is from Rfam.
GUCUCAGUAGCAUAGUGGCUAAUGCACAGCUCCGGACAGGUUGAGACGCGGGUUCGAAUCCCGCCUGAGGUG